This 380-nucleotide ribosomal RNA is filed under the name uncultured organism. Its description in RNAcentral is "partial 16S ribosomal RNA". It matches the Rfam family "Bacterial small subunit ribosomal RNA", at positions 527 to 896 of the family's 1533-position model. The record is from RNAcentral.
GUAGACCUCAAGCGUUAUCCGGAUUUAUUGGGCGUAAAGCGCUAAAAGGCGGUUUAGAAAGUUGAACAUAAAAGCCCGGAGCUCAACUCCGGAUCUAUGUCCAAAACUUCUAGGCUAGAGGGUGGAAGAGGCAAGCGGAAUGGCUGGUGUAGCAGUAAAAUGCGUUAAUAUCAGCUAGAACACCGAUGGCGAAGGCAGCUUGCUGGAACACUCCUGACGCUAAAUAGCGAAAGCGUGGGUAGCGAAUGGGGGAUUAGAUACCCCAGUAGUCCACGCCGUAAACGCUGAGUGCUAGGUAUCGGAGAUUCGACCCCCCUUCGGUAUCGUUUACCAAGCUAACGCGUUAAGCACUCCGCCUGGGGAGUACGGUCGCAAGACUA